Molecule: long non-coding RNA, 2035 nt
Organism: Mytilus trossulus (common blue mussel)
Lineage: Eukaryota; Metazoa; Mollusca; Bivalvia; Mytilida; Mytilidae
Exons: 2
Source: RefSeq, a predicted model, not a curated record
UAGUAUAUAUUGUGUGGCAGCAGCAAAUAUUUUUGCCACGUUGACAAAAAUUUUGCCCCCGUCAGCAAAAAUUGCAUAAUAUAUUUGUUGGAUAAUAUCAAAAUAUUGAUUUUUAAUUUGUAAAAUAUAAAAGAAUGUUUUUAUUUUUUUUUCUCACUGCAUUAAACAAUUUUAAUGCAUUACCAAUCAAUUUAACAUUGUUGAUAUGCUGGAUAUGGAAGUAGUAAAAGUAAAUUGAACAUUUAAAAAAAAAUUUCAUUUCAUUAAACAAUUUAACGCAUUACCAAUCAUUUAAAUUGUUGAUAUGCUGGAUAUGGAAGUAGUAAAAGGAACAUUUAAAACAAUUUGAGAGCUUUAAUUUGAUAAAAGUUUAAUUGGUAAAUAUAAUAAUUAACCCUAACCCUAACCCUAACCCUAACCCUAACCCUAACCCAAACAAAAAUAUCAUACAUUAUAAAUUAUUAUUAUUAUUAAUAAAACAUGGAUGAGAUAGAAUCAUGUGAAAAUAUAGCCAGACUUGAUAACAUAUUCGAUAUAAUAUAUGCAAAGUCAGUUUUUGACAAAGUCAACACCACAUGCACAGGAGGAAGACAAGGGUCUAGAUAAUAUUAAGAUCAUUCUUAUAAUGAUUUUUGCAUCUCUAGCAUGUGUUAUGCUCUUGUCGCUGAUGUUAUUUUGCAUCUGCAAAAAGAAGAGAACUGCAAAAACCAAUUUCCGCCAACACCAAUUCUCCUUCAAUGUCGAUGCAGAUUCACUAUCCGAAAUAGAAAUUGCAGAUUUUGUUAAUACACCAAAAAAAACUGUUUAAGUUAAUAUCUAUCUCUGUAUUUACUACUUUUUAAUUUGUAGAAUAUAUCCUCAUCGCAAUUUAUGAAAGGCUUCAAGAAAUUAUAAAUUAUUUUUUUCCACCACGUGAAAAUAACAGACGAGUAGCCCCAGCACAACAACAACCACCAAGAAUAUUGAGAAGAUCAAACAGGAUAUCUAUUCGGCCACAGAGACUAACCUAUGAUUAAUUUUCUAAACUUUUAAAUUUUAUGAAAUUUUUUAAAUUUUUUUUCUAAAUUUUAUAUUUUUUUUAUUUUUUUUUUUCUAAAUUUUAUAAUCUUUUUUCUAAAUUUUAUAAACUUAUUUAUACACUGUUAUCUAAAUUUUAAUAAUCACUGAUGAGGAUGUAUUCUACAAAUCUACUUAUAUUAUGAAAAAUUAUAUCACCAAAACUUUUCAAUUUUCUUUCAUUUGAUUUAUUUGGAUUAGUUACACUUUAUUUUAAUUAAAGAAAAGAUUUUGAUUAUACUCGCAUUUCUCUACUCUCAUUUUAUUAUAUUGUAAAUAGUAGUAUACAUGUAGUUUGUUUUUAUAAAUUCACCUUAGUUUAUAUGUUUCAUGCUCAUUCAAACCAUAAAUUUCAUUAUAAAUCUAUUCUUUUCAUUAAAUAAUCUACUUUCUCUGGUAUUAAAGUUCAUUAUUAAUCUAUUCCUUUCAUUAAAUUAUUCUUUUUAGUUUUCCAUUUACAUAUGUUUAGUUUUGUAAUAGAAAUAAAUUAAAUUAAAAAACAAAUAUGAUUGGUAUUAUUGUAUAUAUGUAAAUAAUAUAUAUAUGUAUAUAAUGUUUGGAGAACUUUUUGUUUUUAUGUUUACUUUAUCAUCAUUUUCAUCUUUGGAAUUUUUUCAUAUGAGAAUUUACAGCAUCCAAAUUUAAUUACAACAUAUUAUCGCAUAUUUUAUCAUAUUGUGUUUGCUUAAACUUUUUUUCUUUUGUUUUUAUUACUUUUUAUAGUGCUAUAUGAUUAAGUUAAACCUAGAGAUAAAUAUAUAAAAAUUCUUGAUUUGUAACCGCUGUCAUGGUGCUUUCUAUAACAUGUUUUAUGUGAAAAAAAUGGUGCAUUACAAAUGAUGUAAGUUUUUUAUAACCAAAUUUCAUUUGAUAGUUCUCUUGUUUAUAUUAUUUACAAUUGUUAUAUAAAUAGUGCAGAAAACUUGAUUUGUUUUGAAACUUACUAUGUUGUUUCAUGGAAUAAAGUAUUUGUAUUUGA